GCCAGCAGCCAUAUCACCCUGCAGCUCUCAACUGGCUAUCCACUGAAGCUAAAAAGGGUUGAGCAUGGUCAGUACCUGGAUGGGAGACCUCCUGGGAAGCCAUGGUUGCUGUUGGAA
This 117-nucleotide ribosomal RNA is filed under the name Lepisosteus oculatus (spotted gar). The record is from RNAcentral. Lineage: Eukaryota; Metazoa; Chordata; Actinopteri; Semionotiformes; Lepisosteidae.